This 270-nucleotide ribosomal RNA is filed under the name uncultured bacterium. RNAcentral's name for it is "partial 16S ribosomal RNA". It matches the Rfam family "Bacterial small subunit ribosomal RNA", at positions 793 to 1055 of the family's 1533-position model. The record is from RNAcentral.
GUCCACGCUGUAAACGAUGAGUGCUAGGUGUAGGGGGUAUCGACUCCUUCUGUGCCGCAGCUAACGCAUUAAGCACUCCGCCUGGGGGAUUACGGCCGCAAAGGUUAAAACUCAAAGGAAUUGACGGGGGCCCGCACAAGCGGUGGAGUAUGUGGUUUAAUUCGAUGAUACGCGAGAAACCUUACCUGGUCUUGACAUGUUAAGAAUCCUUCAGAGAUGAGGGAGUGCUUGCUUGCAAGAACUUAAACACAGGUGGUGCAUGGUUGUCGU